This 686-nucleotide ribosomal RNA is filed under the name Dujonia zeylanoides. RNAcentral describes it as "[Candida] zeylanoides partial large subunit ribosomal RNA". The stretch from base 1 to 585 matches the Rfam family "Eukaryotic large subunit ribosomal RNA", at positions 65 to 664 of the family's 3401-position model. Lineage: Eukaryota; Fungi; Ascomycota; Pichiomycetes; Serinales; Debaryomycetaceae. The record is from RNAcentral.
CCAAACGGGGGAUGGCCUCAUGUACGGCGAGUGAAGCGGCAAAAGCUCAAAUUUGAAAUCUAGCACUUUCAGUGUUCGAGCCUUCUUUUGAAGAAGGUAACUUUGGUUUUGGCUCUUGUCUAUGCUUCUUGGAACAGGACGUCACAGAGGGUGAGAAUCCCGUGCGAUGAGAUGCCCAAUUCCAUGUAAAGUGCUUUCGAAGAGUCGAGUUGUUUGGGAAUGCAGCUCUAAGUGGGUGGUAAAUUCCAUCUAAAGCUAAAUAUUGGCGAGAGACCGAUAGCGAACAAGUACAGUGAUGGAAAGAUGAAAAGAACUUUGAAAAGAGAGUGAAAAAGUACGUGAAAUUGUUGAAAGGGAAGGGCUUGAGAUCAGACUUGGUAUUUUGCGUUCCCUUCCUUUUUGGUUGGGUUCCUCGCAGUUUACUGGGCCAGCAUCGGUUUGGAUGGUAGGAUAAUGACAUUGGAAUGUAGCUUUACUUCGGUGAAGUGUUAUAGACUUUGUUGAUACUGCCUAUCUAGACCGAGGACUGCGUCUUUGACUAGGAUGCUGGCGUAAUGAUCUUAAGCCGCCCGUCUUGAACACCGGACCAAAAAAGAAAACCAAAAUUAAAAAAAAAAAAAAAAACCCCACCCAAACAGGGGGCCGGGGGGGUGGGAACUGGUUGGUGUGUGGGUUUGGUGAUUUUC